Long non-coding RNA from Amphibalanus amphitrite, 310 nucleotides. RefSeq lists it as uncharacterized. Lineage: Eukaryota; Metazoa; Arthropoda; Thecostraca; Balanomorpha; Balanidae. The record is from RefSeq and is a predicted model, not a curated record. The transcript has 4 exons.
UCCAAGAGAGAUGGUGCUACUGUUUCAACACACCACCGAUGUAUCCGCCAAUGGAAGUCAGUUUAUAUCAGGUGCGGCUGGAAGCUGGUGAAGCUGCUUCAUCACACCACCGGGGCCCACCACUGGACUGAACUGAUAGGAGGGUGCAGCGACGCUCGAGACCAAUGAUCUCUGGUCCGCCAGUCAGGAGACUCUGAACGGUGCAGCAGUACAGGAGGGAGUGUGGCGCCGGUAUACAGCUGACACCAGACGUCCGUCCAUUGGCCAGUCACCACGGAACCAGCGAGAUUAGGAAUCACAUUUGGACGAA